GGGCUUAUCUGGCAGGGAAGAUACCAUGACCAGGAAGGUGGUUUUCCAGGGCAAGGCUCAUCCGUUGUUCUUCAUGUGUGCCCGUCCCUGAGAUUUCUCCACAUUCAAGAGUUUUAGCUGCACUGAUUAUGGUAAUAGGGACUACAUUCACACUCGCCUUC
Molecule: small nuclear RNA, 161 nt
Organism: Rattus rattus (black rat)
Lineage: Eukaryota; Metazoa; Chordata; Mammalia; Rodentia; Muridae
Product: U1 spliceosomal RNA
Exons: 1
Source: RefSeq, a predicted model, not a curated record